This 916-nucleotide ribosomal RNA is filed under the name uncultured Alphaproteobacteria bacterium. RNAcentral describes it as "bacterial SSU rRNA". It matches the Rfam family "Bacterial small subunit ribosomal RNA", at positions 58 to 1022 of the family's 1533-position model. Lineage: Bacteria; Pseudomonadati; Pseudomonadota; Alphaproteobacteria. The record is from RNAcentral.
CAAGUCGAACGAUGUAGCAAUACAUAGUGGCGCACGGGUGAGUAACGCGUGGGAAUCUGCCCAUUAGUACGGAAUAACAGCGGGAAACUGCUGCUAAUACCGUAUACGCCCUUCGGGGGAAAGAUUUAUCGCUAAUGGAUGAGCCCGCGUAAGAUUAGCUAGUUGGUGGGGUAAAAGCCUACCAAGGCUACGAUCUUUAGCUGGUCUGAGAGGACGACCAGCCACACUGGAACUGAGACACGGUCCAGACUCCUACGGGAGGCAGCAGUAGGGAAUAUUGGACAAUGGGCGAAAGCCUGAUCCAGCCAUGCCGCGUGAGUGAUGAAGGCCUUAGGGUUGUAAAGCUCUUUUGUCAGGGAAGAUAAUGACGGUACCUGAAGAAUAAGUUCCGGCUAACUUCGUGCCAGCAGCCGCGGUAAUACGAAGGGAACUAGCGUUGUUCGGAAUCACUGGGCGUAAAGCGGGCGCAGGCGGACUAUCAAGUCAGAGGUGAAAUCCCAAGGCUUAACCUUGGAAUUGCCUUUGAAACUGAUAGUCUGGAGUGUGUGAGGGGGUAGCGGAAUUCCGAAUGUAGAGGUGAAAUUCGUAGAUAUUCGGAGGAACACCGGUGGCGAAGGCGGCUACCUGGCACACAACUGACGCUGAGGCCCGAAAGCGUGGGGAUCAAACAGGAUUAGAUACCCUGGUAGUCCACGCCCUAAACGAUGAGUGCUAGCUGUUGGUCCUUGUGAUCAGUGGCGUCGCUAACGCAUUAAGCACUCCGCCUGGGGAGUACGGUCGCAAGAUUAAAACUCAAAGGAAUUGACGGGGACCCGCACAAGCGGUGGAGCAUGUGGUUUAAUUCGAGGCACCGCGAAAAACCUUACCAGGCCUUGACAUGGUUAGUAUGAACUCCAGAAAAGGAGUUCUUCAGUUC